This 432-nucleotide ribosomal RNA is filed under the name uncultured bacterium. RNAcentral describes it as "partial 16S ribosomal RNA". It matches the Rfam family "Bacterial small subunit ribosomal RNA", at positions 29 to 506 of the family's 1533-position model. The record is from RNAcentral.
AACGAACGCUGGCGGCAUGCCUAACACAUGCAAGUCGAACGAGACCUUCGGGUCUAGUGGCGCACGGGUGCGUAACGCGUGGGAACCUGCCCUUAGGUUCGGAAUAACUCCCCGAAAGGGGUGCUAAUACCGGAUAAUGUCUUCGGACCAAAGAUUUUUCGCCUUUGGAUGGGCCCGCGUUGGAUUAGCUAGUUGGUAGGGUAAAAGCCUACCAAGGCGACGAUCCAUAGCUGGUCUGAGAGGAUGAUCAGCCACACUGGGACUGAGACACGGCCCAGACCCCUCCGGGGGGCGGCAGUGGGGAAUUUUGGACAUGGGGCGAAAGCCUGACCCACCAAUGCCGCGUGAGGGAUGAAGGCCUUAGGGUUGUAAAGCUCUUUUCCCCGGGAUGAUAAUGACAGUACCGGGAGAAUAAGCCCCGGCUACCCCCGU